Molecule: ribosomal RNA, 719 nt
Filed under: uncultured bacterium
Lineage: Bacteria
Description: bacterial SSU rRNA
Rfam family: Bacterial small subunit ribosomal RNA
Source: RNAcentral
ACUGGUGAGUAACACGUGGAUAACGUACCCCGAUGCCCGGGACAGCCUGUAGAAAUAGAGGGUGAUACCGGAUAGAUCACUGUAUACGGAAGGUAAACAGCGGGAAAGGAGCUUCUGCUCCGCGCCGGGAACGGUCUGCGGCCCUCUGAUGGAUAGUUGGUGGGGUAAAGGCCUACCGAGGUGACGAUCUGGAGCGGGUCUGAGAGGAUGAUCCGCCACACUGGGACUGAGACACGGCCCAGACUCCUACGGGAGGCAGCAGUGGGGAAUUUUGGACAAUGGGCGCAAGCCUGAUCCAUCCAUGCCGCGUGUCUGAGAAGGCCUUCUGGUUGUGAGGACCUUUGUUACGGAAGAAGAAUGAGCGGUAUAUACCCGUUUCUGCUGACCGGACCUAAAGAAUAAGCACCGGCUAAGUACGUGCCAGCAGCCGCGGUAAUACGUAUGGUGCCAGCGAUCAUCAGUAUUGCUGGUCGUAAAUGCAGCGCAGACUGUUACUUAGCAUGAUGUGAAAUCCCCGCUCUUCACCUGAGAACUGUGUUCUACAGUGAGUGGGUAGAGUAUGUCAGAGGAGAGGUAAAAUUCCACGUGUCGCAGAGAAGUGCAUAUAUAUGUGAGAGGACAUACCAUAUGGCAAAGGACACUCCCUGGGGAUGAUACUGAGACGUCCUGGAUCGAAAGCCUGGGGUAGCCAAACAGGAUUUAAAUACCCUGGUAGUCCA